AGAGUUUGAUCAUGGCUCAGGAUGAACGCUAGCUACAGGCUUAACACAUGCAAGUCGAGGGGAAACGACAUCGAAAGCUUGCUUUUGAUGGGCGUCGACCGGCGCACGGGUGAGUAACGCGUAUCCAACCUGCCCACCACUUGGGGAUAACCUUGCGAAAGUAAGACUAAUACCCAAUGACGUCUCUAGAAGACAUCUGAAAGAGAUUAAAGAUUUAUCGGUGAUGGAUGGGGAGUGCGUCUGAUUAGCUUGGUUGGCGGGGGUAACGGCCCACCAAGGCGACGAUCAGUAGGGGUUCUGAGGAGGAAGGUCCCCACAUUGGAACUGAGACACGGUCCAAACUCCUACGGGAGGCA
This 356-nucleotide ribosomal RNA is filed under the name uncultured bacterium. RNAcentral describes it as "bacterial SSU rRNA". It matches the Rfam family "Bacterial small subunit ribosomal RNA", at positions 8 to 350 of the family's 1533-position model. The record is from RNAcentral.